Molecule: long non-coding RNA, 406 nt
Organism: Oncorhynchus tshawytscha (Chinook salmon)
Lineage: Eukaryota; Metazoa; Chordata; Actinopteri; Salmoniformes; Salmonidae
Source: Ensembl
UGGAAGUUGAAACUGGAGCAGCAGCAUGGCCAGGUGGACUGGGGACAGCAAGGAGUCAUCAUGUCAGGUAGUCCUGGAGCUCAGGUCCUAGGGCUCAGGUCAGUUGAAACUGGAACAGCAGCAUGGCCAGGUGGACUGGGGACAGCAAGGAGUCAUCAUGUCAGGUAGUCCUGGAGCUCAGGUCCUAGGGCUCAGGUCCUCCGAGAGAGAGAAAGAAAGAGAGAAGGAGAGAAUUAGAGAACGCACACUUAGAUUCACACAGGACACCGAAUAGGACAGGAGAAAUACUCCAGAUAUAACAAACUGACCCCAGCCCCCGACACAUAAACUACUGCAGCAUAAAUACUGGAGGCUGAUAUUAUAAUAACCCAAUGGUUUAUAUUAUAAUAACCCAAUGGUUUAUAUU